UGGGGUGUAGCCAAGUGGCAAGGCACCGGAUUUUGAUUCCGGCAUUCCCAGGUUCGAGUCCUGGCACCCCAGCCA
This 75-nucleotide transfer RNA is filed under the name Gammaproteobacteria bacterium. RNAcentral describes it as "tRNA-Gln". It matches the Rfam family "tRNA". Rfam says of the family: Transfer RNA (tRNA) molecules are approximately 80 nucleotides in length. Their secondary structure includes four short double-helical elements and three loops (D, anti-codon, and T loops). Further hydrogen bonds mediate the characteristic L-shaped molecular structure. tRNAs have two regions of fundamental functional importance: the anti-codon, which is responsible for specific mRNA codon recognition, and the 3' end, to which the tRNAs corresponding amino acid is attached (by aminoacyl-tRNA synthetases). tRNAs cope with the degeneracy of the genetic code in two manners: having more than one tRNA (with a specific anti-codon) for a particular amino acid; and 'wobble' base-pairing, i.e. permitting non-standard base-pairing at the 3rd anti-codon position. The record is from RNAcentral. Lineage: Bacteria; Pseudomonadati; Pseudomonadota; Gammaproteobacteria.